AAAUAUAUGUUAAGUGGAAAAGGAUGUGGGGUUGCUUAGACAACCAGGAUGUUGGCUUAGAAGCAGCCACCAUUGAAAGAGUGCGUAAUAGCUCACUGGUCGAGUGACCCCGCGCCGAAAAUGUACCGGGGCUAAACAUAUUACCGAAACUGUGGAUGAACCUCUUUAGAGGUUCGUGGUAGGAGAGCGUUCUAAGGGCGGUGAAGUCAGACCGGAAGGACUGGUGGAGCGCUUAGAAGUGAGAAUGCCGGUAUGAGUAGCGAAAGAAGGGUGAGAAUCCCUUCCACCGAAUAUCUAAGGUUUCCUGAGGAAGGCUCGUCCGCUCAGGGUUAGUCGGGACCUAAGCCGAGGCCGAUAGGCGUAGGCGAUGGACAACAGGUAGAGAUUCCUGUACCAGUGCUAAUUGUUUAACCGAUGGGGUGACACAGAAGGAUAGGGAAUCGCACGAAUGGAAAUGUGCGUCCAAGCAGUGAGUGUGAGAAGUAGGCAAAUCCGCUUCUCGCGAAGCAUGAGCUGUGAUGGGGAAGGAAAUUAAGUACGGAAGUUCCUGAUUUCACGCUGUCAAGAAAAGCCUCUAGGAAGAGUAGUACUGCCCGUACCGCAAACCGACACAGGUAGAUGAGGAGAGAAUCCUAAGGUGAGCGAGAGAACUCUCGUUAAGGAACUCGGCAAAAUGACCCCGUAACUUCGGGAGAAGGGGUGCUCUAUUAGGGUGCAAGCCCGAGAGAGCCGCAGUGAAUAGGCCCAGGCGACUGUUUAGCAAAAACACAGGUCUCUGCAAAACCGUAAGGUGACGUAUAGGGGCUGACGCCUGCCCGGUGCUGGAAGGUUAAGAGGAGUGCUUAGCUUCGGCGAAGGUACGAAUUGAAGCCCCAGUAAACGGCGGCCGUAACUAUAACGGUCCUAAGGUAGCGAAAUUCCUUGUCGGGUAAGUUCCGACCCGCACGAAAGGCGCAACGAUCUGGGCACUGUCUCAACGAGAGACUCGGUGAAAUUAUAGUACCUGUGAAGAUGCAGGUUACCCGCGACAGGACGGAAAGACCCCGUGGAGCUUUACUGCAACCUGAUAUGGAAUGUUUGUACCGCUUGUACAGGAUAGGUAGGAGCCGAAGAGACGUGUGCGCUAGCAUACGAGGAGGCAAUGGUGGGAUACUACCCUGGCUGUAUGACCAUUCUAACCCGCCACGCUUAGCGCGUGGGGAGACAGUGUCAGGUGGGCAGUUUGACUGGGGCGGUCGCCUCCUAAAGAGUAACGGAGGCGCCCAAAGGUUCCCUCAGAAUGGAUGGAAAUCAUUCGCAGAGUGUAAAGGCACAAGGGAGCUUGACUGCGAGACUGACAAGUCGAGCAGGGACGAAAGUCGGGCUUAGUGAUCCGGUGGUUCCGCAUGGAAGGGCCAUCGCUCAACGGAUAAAAGCUACCCCGGGGAUAACAGGCUUAUCUCCCCCAAGAGUCCACAUCGACGGGGAGGUUUGGCACCUCGAUGUCGGCUCGUCGCAUCCUGGGGCUGUAGUCGGUCCCAAGGGUUGGGCUGUUCGCCCAUUAAAGCGGCACGCGAGCUGGGUUCAGAACGUCGUGAGACAGUUCGGUCCCUAUCCGUCGCGGGCGCAGGAAAUUUGAGAGGAGCUGUCCUUAGUACGAGAGGACCGGGAUGGACACACCGCUGGUGUACCAGUUGUUCCGCCAGGAGCAUCGCUGGGUAGCUAUGUGUGGCAGGGAUAAACGCUGAAAGCAUCUAAGCGUGAAGCCCCCCUCAAGAUGAGAUUUCCCAUUUCUUCGGAAAGUAAGA
Molecule: ribosomal RNA, 1787 nt
Filed under: Listeria monocytogenes
Lineage: Bacteria; Bacillati; Bacillota; Bacilli; Caryophanales; Listeriaceae
Description: partial 23S ribosomal RNA
Rfam family: Bacterial large subunit ribosomal RNA
Source: RNAcentral